UACGGAGGGUGCAAGCGUUAAUCGGAAUUACUGGGCGUAAAGCGUGCGUAGGCGGUUCGUUAAGUCUGUUGUGAAAAGCCCCGGGCUCAACCUGGGAAUGGCAAUGAAUACUGGCGAGCUAGAGUGUGUCAGAGGAUGGUGGAAUUCCCCGGUGUAGCGGUGAAAUGCGUAGAGAUCGGGAGGAACAUCAGUGGCGAAGGCGGCCAUCUGGGACAACACUGACGCUGAGGCACGAAAGCGUGGGGAGCAAACAGG
RNAcentral lists this ribosomal RNA (255 nucleotides) under uncultured bacterium. RNAcentral's name for it is "partial 16S ribosomal RNA". It matches the Rfam family "Bacterial small subunit ribosomal RNA", at positions 524 to 776 of the family's 1533-position model. The record is from RNAcentral.